AGUGGCGGACGGGUGAGUAACGCGUGAGAAUCUGCCUUGGGGUCGGGGACAACCACUGGAAACGGUGGCUAAUACCGGAUAAGCCGAUUGGUGAAAGAUUUAUUGCCCGAAGAGGAGCUCGCGUCUGAUUAGCUAGUUGGUGAGGUAAGAGCUCACCAAGGCAGCGAUCAGUAGCUGGUCUGAGAGGACGAUCAGCCACACUGGGACUGAGACACGGCCCAGACUCCUACGGGAGGCAGCAGUGGGGAAUUUUCCGCAAUGGGCGAAAGCCUGACGGAGCAAGACCGCGUGAGGGAGAAAGGCUCUUGGGUUGUAAACCUCUUUUCUCAGGGAAGAAGCUCUGACGGUACCUGAGGAAUCAGCCUCGGCUAACUCCGUGCCAGCAGCCGCGGUAAUACGGAGGAGGCAAGCGUUAUCCGGAAUUAUUGGGCGUAAAGCGUCCGCAGGUGGCGAUUCAAGUCUGCUGUCAAAGCACGGGGCUUAACUCCGUAAAGGCAGUGGAAACUGAAUAGCUAGAGUGCCGUAGGGGUAGAGGGAAUUCCCGGUGUAGCGGUGAAAUGCGUAGAGAUCGGGAAGAACAUCGGUGGCGAAAGCGCUCUACUGGACGGCAACUGACACUCAGGGACGAAAGCUAGGGGAGCGAAUGGGAUUAGAUACCCC
RNAcentral lists this ribosomal RNA (660 nucleotides) under uncultured bacterium. RNAcentral describes it as "bacterial SSU rRNA". It matches the Rfam family "Bacterial small subunit ribosomal RNA", at positions 94 to 788 of the family's 1533-position model. The record is from RNAcentral.